UCCCCGGGCUUANCCUGGGAACUGCGUUCUGAACUGGGUAGCUAGAGUAUGUCAGAGGGGGGUAGAAUUCCACGUGUAGCAGUGAAAUGCGUAGAGAUGUGGAGGAAUACCGAUGGCGAAGGCAGCCUCNUGGGAUAAUACUGACGUUCAUGCCCGAAAGCGUGGGUAGCAAACAGGAUUAGAUACCCUGGUAGUNCACGCCCUAAACGAUGUCGAUUAGCUGUUGGGCGACUUGAUUGCUUAGUAGCGAAGCUAACGCGUGAAAUCGACCGCCUGGGGAGUACGGUCGCAAGAUUAAAACUCAAAGGAAUUGACGGGGACCCGCACAAGCGGUGGAUGAUGUGGAUUAAUUCGAUGCAACGCGAAGAACCUUACCUGGUCUUGACAUGUACGGAACCUUCCAGAGACGGAAGGGUGCCUUCGGGAGCCGUAACACAGGUGCUGCAUGGCUGUCGUCAGCUCGUGUCGUGAGAUGUUGGGUUAAGUCCCGCAACGAGCGCAACCCUUGUCAUUAGUUGCCAUCAUUAAGUUGGGCACUCUAAUGAGACUGCCGGUGACAAACCGGAGGAAGGUGGGGAUGACGUCAAGUCCUCAUGGCCCUUAUGACCAGGGCUUCACACGUCAUACAAUGGUCGGUACAGAGGGUAGCCAAGCCGCGAGGCGGAGCCAAUCCCAGAAAACCGAUCGUAGUCCGGAUUGCACUCUGCAACUCGAGUGCAUGAAGUCGGAAUCGCUAGUAAUCGCAGGUCAGCAUACUGCGGUGAAUACGUUCCCGGGUCUUGUACACACCGCCCGUCACACCAUGGGAGUGGGGGAUACCAGAAGCAGGUAGGAUAACCGCAAGGA
RNAcentral lists this ribosomal RNA (846 nucleotides) under uncultured bacterium. RNAcentral's name for it is "bacterial SSU rRNA". It matches the Rfam family "Bacterial small subunit ribosomal RNA", at positions 600 to 1447 of the family's 1533-position model. The record is from RNAcentral.